CGGGGGGGGCAAGCGUUGUUCGGAAUUACUGGGCGUAAAGGGCUCGUAGGUGGCCAACUAAGUCGGACGUGAAAUCCCUCGGGCUUAACCGGGGAACUGCGUCCGAUACUGGUUGGCUUGAGUUUGGGAGAGGGAUGCGGAAUUCCAGGUGUAGCGGUGAAAUGCGUAGAUAUCUGGAGGAACACCGGUGGCGAAGGCGGCAUCCUGGACCAAUACUGACGCUGAGGAGCGAAAGCCAGGGGAGCAAACGGGAUUAGAUACCCCGGUAGUCCUGGCCCUAAACGAUGAAUGCUUGGUGUGGCGGGUAUCGAUCCCUGCCGUGCCGAAGCUAACGCAUUAAGCAUUCCGCCUGGGGAGUACGGUCGCAAGGCUG
This 373-nucleotide ribosomal RNA is filed under the name uncultured organism. RNAcentral's name for it is "bacterial SSU rRNA". It matches the Rfam family "Bacterial small subunit ribosomal RNA", at positions 526 to 896 of the family's 1533-position model. The record is from RNAcentral.